RNAcentral lists this long non-coding RNA (11531 nucleotides) under Phaseolus vulgaris (common bean). RNAcentral describes it as "long non-coding RNA (PVUL_LNC000929)". Lineage: Eukaryota; Viridiplantae; Streptophyta; Magnoliopsida; Fabales; Fabaceae. The record is from RNAcentral.
AAUUGCCUCCAACAGUUGGAUGAAAAUCCAUUUGCAAUCCUUGACUUGCUUUCUAAUGAGCUAUCUCCUUCACUGAAACAAUCAGAAACUUGUGUUCAAAAGGAAGCUCAAGCAAAUGAUGCUACAACCGUCCUCAAUGAGUUCCGAACCUUAGUGUUCUCAACAUCGUUGCUAAAGAAACUUCCAGACCACUCCUAUCGGCAACAAAUUGAAGAAUCACUACACAAGCUUAACACUUAUCGUAGAGAAAUUACAGAAGAGCAAAAUGAGGGUUUAGAAAAAUUUAUAGAGCUAUACAAUAAAGCUUCCAAAAUUUCUCAGGAUAAGAUGUUAACCGAGGAUGAACAAGCAAAACUGGCAUCUGAGAAGAGAGACUUGUAUAACAAACUUCAAGAUUCUAAACUGAAAGUUCAACAGUUUGACACCACCAUCUCAACUAGUAAGUCUAAUAUGGAAAACCUCCAAAAGAGACAAAGGGAAAUCCAUGAAGCUAUGAAGAAAUUUCAACAAGAAAAUGAAGGCUUGGAAAAUGAGAGGUCAACACUUGAGGUUUUAUACUCAGAAAAACAAACCAAGAAGAACGAAACACUUGAAUCAGUGAAGUGUAUCUCCACUUCUGUUGUUCAAAGAACCAAACAAUUAGAAGAACUUGAAGAGAAAAGAUUGAGUUUGGCUUCAGCUUACGAAGACCUCAAAGAGCCAUAUCGAAGAAUGAAGACAAAACCCCCAUUUUGAUGUCAUUUUUAUUUGAAUCAUUCCAUAGAUAAGUUCCUGGCUGUAAAUAAGUUUGGUGUCAGUUUUAUGAUGAUGGAAAAUUUACAAAAGUGGUGCAGAUUUCUUUCUAAACUACCGAAAUGGGCAGACUUUUAAAUAUUUACUGCCAUGGUCAUAACCUUGUUUUGUUCAUUUUAAUCAGAAAGGAAGACAUGACUUUCAGGUGUUUUUUUUUUCUUUCUAAAAGUUUUGUACGGAGUGCACGACUUUUUUUUUUUUAAUGUUUUUAUUUUAUUUUUUCUUUCAAAUCAGAAAAUGCUGAAAUUAUAUUUGUUCCGAAUUUGGAUAUAAUUGUUUUGGGCUUAGAAUCAUGUAAAGAUUUAGAUUUGUCUUAUGUUCAAUAAUCCUAUACGAGUUAAGCUAAAAAUAAUUUAAAUACAUCUUUCUUUUUUAAUUCUUUAAUACGUUUUUUUAGGAUAAUAUCAUGAUGGAACUACAAGCUUCAAAACGGAUAUUACAUUGAAUGCGGUGAUUGAUCAUUAAAAUAUUAUAUUAAUGGACCUGAAGUUGGAACAUUGGUGCGGUUUGUGAGAAUAUAAAAGUGGUUCCAAAGAUGAACCUUCGUUUCCUUAACCCUCAACUAGAGGAUGGAUAAAUGGUUCUAAUAUAAAAGUGGUUCCAAAGAUAAACCCUCAUUCCCUUACUAGAUGAUAGAUAAAUGGUUCCAAAUCCCCUCUCAACGAGAGAGCUUAUUCCAGUAUGCUCAAUAGUACUGCAUUGCUUAGGAGUAAAACAAUUUAAAUCACAUUACACCCUUAACCCCAAGACGCCUUUAAAAGACAACCAAAUGAUGAUGGAGCUUCGAGUUCAAAAAGAACAAUACUCCAAAUGUGGUGGAUGAUCAGGUAAUUCACAAUAAAAAAAAAACUAAUUCACACUAUAAAUUCCUUACCAGUCUUCUUAUCUGGCUUAGUGGAUGAUCAGGUAAAUAGGGGUUUGAGAGGACAAGUAUAUCUUUAUUAAUUAUUAUAUCACAUAACAUGAAGUGGAUCUAAAUUAGCAUUCGUGAAAUGAUUAUUUUUUUAAUUUACACUUUUCAAAUUAUUAAAAAGCUUUCAAACUGUACUACGCAUUCUCAACAAAAUUGUACAAUAUAUUCUAUAUUGUAUGAUUUAAAAAUAUUAAUUGAGAAUAUCAUAAUAGAAUUAAUGAUUAUAACGAAAGUAAAUUUUUGGAAGUAUAGAAAUCAUAACUUGCGUGUCUAUCCACGGUCUUUCAUACAUGCACGUUCAUAAAACCAAUCUACACGUGUGACUAAAGUCUGCAUUCAAAAAAACUUUAGAAAAAACUUUCAAGUUAUAUAAAUACUAAUAAGUUAUUUCAAGAAAUUCAUUUAAAAAGAGUGAACAUAGAAUAAACCUAUUGAGUUCAAUUAAUGCAUAAUAUAUAUAUAUAUAUAUAUAUAUAUAUAUAUAAACUACCCAAAAGGGUAAUUUUACUAAUCUCUUCUUUAAUAAUUGCGCCGUGUGUGCAAAAAUUAAGUUUUCCAGAACAUAAAGUCAACAUUUUCAGAAAACUGACAUUAAACCUUUUAAAAAAGUUUUGUUUUUUAUACUAGAAGAAAAUGGUCUUGAUACCCCUCAUAGAUUUUUUAGAGGAUUCAUCCAAAAGAUUUCAUAGUAUUAUCUUAAAUAUAAAAUUUUAAAAUAAUAAAUUUGUGGGUCACUUUUAUUUAACAUAGGAGUUUAAAUUCAUACUAGAAAUUCUCAGCGCAAUAAAUUUUAGAUAUGAGAUAAUGAUUUUAAGUUGAUUAGAUUUUUACAAGUUGCUUUCUAAUAAACAAUUAGAAAGUAUACAUUUUAGUAGAAUCGAAAUUGAAGUGUAGAAAGUAAUUAGCAGAAGUCAAAAGCGAUCAAAAUGAGAGAACCCCAAGAACAUAAUCCUUGAAAAGCUUCAUGGUCCAUUUGUUUCAUACGAUGUUGUGAUGUUGGUUGGUUCCUUCCUUUCCUCGAAAGGACAGUGGAGAAUAUGCAAAGUUCGGAGAUGUGUUCCCCCUUUGGCGAAAAGUACGAUGUUUUUGUGAGUUUCAGAGGAGCAGACACACGAACAAACUUCACAAACCAUCUUCUGAAUGCUCUGACUCAGAAAUCAAUCAGCGUAUUCAUAGAUUACGAACUCACCAAAGGAGACUACAUUUGGCCAGUCCUUGCCAGAGCAAUCGAGGGGUCUCGUGUGUCAAUUGUUGUUAUAUCCGAAAACUAUGCCUCCUCCAGCUGGUGCUUGAAAGAGCUGGAACACAUACUCCAAUUCAGAAGAACUCGGGGUAUGGUUGUUAUACCCGUCUUCUAUGAAGUAGAUCCCUCACACGUAAGGAAGCUGAGUGGGAGUUUUGAUAAGUCUUUCGCAAAGCAUGAGCUAGACACCGGAUCAUGUUCAUGGGACCCAGAAGCCCACAGGAAGGAUGUUUCUAGGUGGAAAGCUGCUCUCAAACAAGCAGCCAAUAUUUCUGGAUGGGACUCCAGAUCAUACAGGUAGAUACCAUCUUCCUUGUUCAUACUAUUCUUUCAUUGAAAUAUGAUGAGAGUUUUAAAUUUAGGACUUUUGUCUUUUAGAACAUCUUCUAUAGAAGUUUUUGAGAACAUUUUGAUAUAGAUAAGUACAUGAGUUCCUUUGAAUUGAAAAGAAUUCCUUAUAUGUAAAAGUUAGUUUAUCCUUAUCUCCAUCCUCAUACCUAACUCUCCCACCCCUCUGAGAAUGGGUACACCCGUACUUAGGCACGUAUUCACUUAUUUACUAUUCCAAAUAUUAAUUCUCAAAUGAAAAUAUCAAAUAACAAUUAUGUGAAAAGUUAAAUAAUUACGAAACUAACAACAACAAAAAAAGUUCUAGUCAUUUAAUAAAUUAGAGAUCUUUUAGUAAUUUAAUUAUGAGACGUGUAUUGAGAUUGAGAUGGAAAUGGGGUGGGAUGAGGCGAAUAUGUACAUACCCAUUCUCAUCCCAUAUCCAAUUUAAAAAAUUGGGUAUUGUCCAUACCCACGCAGUACAAAGUCAAUAUGGAGAUUUUUAUUAAAAUCAGGAUGAGUUUGGACAAUACUUACACGGACACGUUUAUUUGCUAUCUCUACAUAUAAGUGUUAAGAAUCCAAGUAUGAGUUCAGAGUUUCACAUUGAAUAGAAAUCAAAAUGUCGAGUGACAUAUAAAGAAAAAAAUCCGCAAGCACGUAGUCUUAAGGUUUUGGAUUGAAGAUAGUUUCUUGUUAUCUUAAGAAUAAAAAUAUUUAGUUAUACUAAUUAAAUUAUUUUUAUAAAUAAUUGAAGGGUAAAUUAAAAAUUAUAAAAACUUAAGUAUUAGAGAACAUCAUCUUUAGGGGAAAAACAUGCAAGAGAGAGCCUUAAAAUUGAUGUUGGAUUGGGAAACAAAAUAAGAUCCGGAUAAAAUCCUUGGAGAUAUUCUUCACCUACCAAUUGGUGAAGUUAGCAUGACGAUUUAGAGGUUUGGCUUAGAGGUACGGUAAGAUAGGAAAACAUUGGUGGUUGAACAAAGUAGAGAUUAGAGUAGGAAAGAAAGUAGUAAGUAUUAUUUCAGAUAAUUAUCCUUGCUUUUAUCAAGUAAAUUCAUAAUAGUAUUAUUUCCCUAUGUGUGGUUGGUUUGUUUCAUUAUUAUGACAGAAAUGAAGCAACGUUCAUCCAGAAUCUUGUCAAUGAUGUAUUGCAAAAGCUACAGCAGAGAUAUCCUACAGAUCUAAAAGGCUUAGUCAGCAUGAAAAAUACUUGUGGAAAGGUGGACUUGUUAGUGCAAAAAUAUCGAGUCAUUGGAAUUUGGGGUAUGGGGGGAAUUGGUAAGUCAACCAUUGCUAAAGCCUUGUUUGCCAAAUACUUUCCCUCUUUUGAUCAUGUCUGCUUCGUGGCCAAUGCAAAAGAAUUUUCGCUCGAUAAGCUUUUCUCUAACCUAUUCAGAGAGGAAGUUUCCGCAUCAAAUGUGGUAGGAUCAACAUUUGAUAUGAGGAGACUCAGAAGGAAAAAGAUUUUGAUUGUACUUGAUGAUAUGGAUCGCUUAGACGUAUUGGAAUAUUUAUGUAGAGAGUAUGAGGACCUAGAUCCCGCUAGUAAACUCAUCAUAACAACACGAGAUAAGCAAUUGCUCGAGGGAAGAGUUGAUCAGAUCUAUGAGGUCAAGAAAUGGAAAACCAGAGCAUCUUUAAAGCUUUUUUGCUUUGAAGCCUUCAAGCAAAAACAUCCAAAAAAGGGUUAUGAGAUUCUCUCAGAAAGUGCAGUUGAAUAUGCCGGUGGUGUUCCACUAGCUCUUAAAGUUUUGGGUUCAUAUCUUCGUUCAAAAGGUAUCAAUUUUUGGGAAAGUACUAUAAGAAAACUCAGCUUGUAUCCUAACGAGAGAAUUCAGAAAGUGUUAGAAGUGAGCUACACUGGAUUACAUGAUCUAGAAAAGAAUAUAUUUCUAGACAUUGUAUUCUUUUUCAAAGAAAAACAGAAAGAUCAUGUCAUUAGGAUACUAGAUGCCUGUGGUUUUGAAGCAACUAGUGGGAUAGAAGUUCUCGCAGAUAAAGCUUUGUUAACAAUUUCAAAUAGAAAGAUAAUACGUAUGCAUGACUUGCUGCAACAAAUGGGUUUGGAGAUUGUACGUCAAGAGAGUAGUGGGGAUCCUGGUAGCCGUAGUCGAUUGAAGGAUAAUGAAGCUAGGGAAGUGAUUGAAGAAAACAAGGUAAAAGAGAAGGAACACUGACCUUUAAUAUGACAUUUUCUUGUAGAAACUGUUGCAAAUUUGAUGUCAUCUAUUUCGUGUUUUCUUUUUUGUGUGUUUUACCAGGGAACUGAUGCUAUUCAGGGCAUAGCAUUAGAUUUGUCUCAAAUUAAAGGUUUAAUUUUGCAUGCUGACACAUUCACAAAGAUGAAAACCUUGAGAUUUCUGAAAUUCUACAACACAUUGGGUCAGAGUGCUAGAGAUACAUACCUUGACCUUCCUGGAACUAUUGAGCCAUUUUCUGAUAAACUGAGGUACAUUGAGUGGAUUGGUUACCCGUUUGAGUCUCUUCCAUCACCUUUUUGCGCUAAGGUUCUUGUUGAGAUUCACAUGCCACACAGCAAAGUAAAACAGCUUUGGCAGGGGAUCCAGGUAAUUAAAGAAUAGAUAUGUAUGUAAACGUGUUGACAUUUUCUUUUGAGUAGUUUCCAUUGUGAUGGCUCCUUUUGUAUUAUUUACAGGAGCUCAAUUAUUUAGAAGGAAUUGACCUAAGACAAUGCAAGCAGUUUGAGGAGCUUCCAGAUUUGUCUAAGGCACCAAGACUUAAAUGGGUGAAUCUCUCCUAUUGUGAAAGUUUGCAGCAUCUUCAUCCAUCUGUUUUAUCCUCAGGCACACUUGUUACUUUGAUACUGGAUAAGUGUACAAACCUCAAGAGUGUUAAAAGUGAGAAACAUUUAAAAUCUCUAGAGAAGAUCAGUGUUAAUGGCUGCUUAAAUCUGGUGGAAUUUGCAGUUUCAUCAGAUUUAAUUGAAAAUUUGGAUUUAAGCUAUACAGGAAUCCAAACAUUGGACACAUCAGGGAGUAUGCAUAAACUUAAGUGGCUCAAUCUGGAGGGCUUAAACCUCAAGCAUAUUUUAGGAGAGUUAUCUUGUUUGACAUCUCUCAAGGUGCUGAAGAUUUCGGGUAAUGAACUGGUAAUAGACAAACAGCAAAUACAUGUCCUGUUUAAUGGAUUAAGGUACCUGCAAAUACUAUAUUUGAAGGAUUGUAUUAAGUUGUUUGAACUCCCUGACAACAUCAGUCUCUUGACACAAUUACAGGAAUUAAGGUUAGACAGAAGCGAUUUGAAAAGGUUGCCUGAAAACAUUAAGAAUCUUAAAAUGUUGGAAAUUCUGUCCCUCGAGGAUUGCAAGGAGCUUCUUUGCCUACCAAAGUUUCCAUCCCUCAUCAAACACUUACGUGCCAUUAACUGUACAUCAUUGGUGUCAGUGACAAACUUGAAGACAUUGGCAACAGAGAUGUUGGGAAUGACUAAACGCAUUACAUUCAAGAAUAGUGGGAAAUUGGAUGGACAUUCACUCAGAAUUAUUAUGGACAGCCUCCAUUUAACAAUGAUGAGUGCUGCAUAUCACAAUGUGUUAGUAAGAUCAUAUGGGACAUACAAAAUUUGCAACUAUACGAGUGUUGAGCUCUGUUUACCCGGAGGGACUGUCCCUGAGCAUAUCCAUUAUCGAUCCACUAAGUCCUCCAUUACCAUUGCACUUCCUUCGCGUUCUGAAUUACUGGGCUUCAUUUACUCAGUGGUUCUUUCUCCAAUUGGUGGAAUGAAGACUGACGGUGCUAAGAUAUUUUGUAAAUGCCACUUGCCAGAAGAAGGUAUAAAGGCAACAUGGCUAUAUGGUGAUAUCAGGGGAUUGAAGUCGGAUCAUGUUUAUGUAUGGUAUGAUCCAUUACAUUGUGACAACAUUCUCAGAUAUUAUGAACUAUCAAAGGUUUGUUUUGAGUUCUGUGUUGCAAAUGAUAAGGGGGAAGUUGACGGUUCCAUCUGUAUUAAAGAGUGUGGGGUAGGCAUUAUAAAUGUUUUAGAAGUGCAUAGUGUUUUACAAGAGUUGGACUUUGAUUCGGAUAAGAAAAAGAAGUUGGUGGAGGGAGUGGAGUUGGAAUCAAAGCUUGGGAAUCAACAACGGGUUUGGAGUGAAUCAAGCUCUUCUGAUACCUCUGGUAUGAACUCAUCACUCCCUUUCAUUGAUAUCUUAUAAUCUUCUAUUAGAAUAAACCUUGAAUAACUGCUCAUAACUUUAUGCUUUAAAUUGUCAUGAUCAUUAAAAAUUAGGUUGAGAUGAUCCAAAAUAUAUCUAGAACUCAUGGUUCAGAUCAUCCAGAAUUAGGUUGAUUUCUGCAUUUUUCUUUUUCUUCAUUUUUUAUUACAUUAUAUAUUAUGUCUCAUUAUCUUUUUCUUCCUUUUCCUUCUAUUUCUGUCUCUCUUUUUUCCACUUGAGACAAAUUACUGUCGUAAAAUAAUCUGUAUCUUUACUAGUGUUGUUUUUGCUUUGGGUGACCUGUUUAUAGGAAAGAAAGGGAUAAGUUUAGGUUUCAACCAAUUAUUAGGGUUGUUAAAAAGUAUAUAAACUGAAAUCAAUUGAUACCAAACUAAAUUGAAUGCUAUAUAAUAAAACUGAAUUGUUUAAAAAGACACUGAACUAAAUUGUUAUAUUAGUGUAGUUUUUAAAAGAGGAAUUGUUUCUAAAAAGAACGUUUUGAACUAAUCUGGACUAUAACUUGAGAUUGAAAAAUAUAAUCUAAGAUUUCUAAUGGUAAUAAUUCAAAACGCUUCAGAUAUUUCAAUUAAGAAACAAUUUAGAGUAGCUCAAUUUUGUUCAAUUCACCAAAACCACCAUGAUAUAAUUGAGUUUAAUUUAGUUUUAAAAUAGUUCACUUCAAUUCAUGCAUUUUGCCCAGCUCUACUAAUUAUACCAACAUUUUACUUUUCUUCAAAAUAGGUGUUAACAUACUAUUUUUUAGGAAUUAUAUUAGCAUAUUUGCACCUAUAAUUUUCAUAGUUAUUUUCUUACCCAUAUUUGCAUUUCUACCAUACCCAUACUCAUAUUCAUUUAACCUAGUUCACUGUAUUUUUUUGCAAUUUAUCAUUUUUUUUCUCUUCAAAUGCAGAGUCAGACUCAGAGAUUAUUGUUAAACCAGAUUCAGCUGAAAAGGGUAAAUCUCCUCACAAGGAAAUCAAAACUGAUUCCAGAACAAAUGCAGUAAGUCAAGAAUUCUACAUUUCAUCAACAAAAUUAUCCUUCAGGAUCUUACAAGUGUAAAAAAAUAUAAAAUAUAAACUUACAUUUUAUUGUUUUUUUAAUUUUCAAUUUUGUCAAACUAUUAUAUUGUGCAGCUCAAAUACGGAAGUAAUAAAGAAGCACCAGUUAAAUCAGAUGCAACAUUGCACGAGACCGUGGGGUCACAUUUAGACAAUGAAAAUGAGUUUAGAGAAAAGUCAAGUAAGUAAUUUAUACCGUGGUUGAUGUAUCACAUUAGCUACUGAUAUGACCAAAAUAACAUGUAUGUGGGAGACAAUCUUCAUUGCAUGAGCUAGCUUUUGUGCUUGUGUUGGUGAUGAGGACUGUUAGACUUUAUAGAGUCACCUAUUAUCAAAACUUUUAUGAAACUAACUAUCAAUGUCAGUGUGCUGAUAAGUUGGUUAAUUUAGGAUUUAUUCAUAGAGAAUCAUUUCAUUGGUAUAAUAGGCUUCCAUCUAGUCUGUUUUUAGAAUUUUUUAUGAAUAAGUAUAGUUUACCUAUGUGUCGGUUUUGGUAACAUAUGAGUUUUGGUUUAGUCUCCCCAUAAAUGAAAUGUCAAGUUGCAUAAUGACACCUAAUAUGAAAGUUUUUAUAAAAAAAAAACAACUAUCAAUGUCCAGUAAGCUGAGGGAUAUAUGUUGCAGAUACAACAUUAACCACUGACAUAACCAAAAUUAUAUAUGUAUAAGUGAAAGGUGACUCUAACUUUUGAAGUUAAACUAGACUAAACCCCAAAAUAUGUACAUACCAUUAGUUAAACCAAACACAGACAAAGUCUUUCCAACAAGAACCAUAUUCUUUUUACUUUUGUUCCUUGGUUUCAGCAAAAAUAAUUUCACGAAAAUCUCACGACCCUGGUGAGUAAUCUUUUAUAUUUAUUUUUCUAUAUCAUAAUUCAAAAGUUUUUUCUGACUCACCUAUAUGCAUCUAUGAUUUGGAUUUAGAGUUUUUGUAGAAUGUUAUUCUAAGGGCUGUAUAUGUUUAGAGACUAUCAGGCUCGGACACUCAUCUUAAACGACGUGUCCAUGUCGGUCAUACAUCGGACAUCGACACUCGUAUGACACAUAUUAGUGGAGUGUCCAAUUCAAAAAAUAUUUAUUGAAUUUCUGACAAUUCUAACACGGUUUUAACACAAUUUUAAAAAGGAGAAAUAUAUUAAUUUUUUAAAAAACUCAAACUUGUUGUAUAAAUUUUUAUUAUGAUUAUAAAAGUAAUGAACAAAUAUUUCUAUAAAUUUUUAUUGUCAAUUUAUAUAAUUCAUAAUUAUAUAAUAUAUAGAUAUGUGUCUCAGUGUCCUAUAUUUUAAAAAUUAUACAUAUCUCCAUGUUUGUGUCGUAAUAGUGUUCAUAUCAGUGUUUGUAGCUCACAGGCCAUAGGCUUAGGCCCCAUUUUUUUCCGGAUAUUUCUCUAUAGUGUAUUUAUUUAUAUAAAUAUAUAUUUUGUUUAUGACUGCAUAUUUCUUAUUAUAAUGAAAAACUAAUUAUGAAUAAUUUUUUUGUUUGUCAUGUAAUUAAACAAAUUUAAUAAAUAUUAGAUACUCUCAUGGAGCAUUACUAAUUACUAGUUUUAUGUAUAAAUUUAUGUUGUCUAUCAAAACAAUUGCAAUUUUUGCUUGCUAAUGCAUGCAAAUUUUGCUAUUAGAUCAUUAUUUCAAACUCGAUGAGAAAGUAAAAUGAAAACUGUCAAGAUAAUAACAUUUCAAGCACAAAAAAUACGAGAUGUUUUGAUUCAAUUAUCAAAAUAUUGUGAAGAUACUAAUUAAAAAAGUAAAGACAUUUGUUUAACUUAUGAGAUUGGAAAUUUUGAAUUUUGACUAAGAAUGAAUUUUUGGUCUGAUAUGUUGUGUGGUUGUUCUCUCUAACUUCUCUGUUUCUCUUCACUUUAGAUUUACUCUCCUAGUCCCUCAAAAACAUUUAUCUUCUAGAUAGUAUAUUAAAGCAUUAAUAAUGGAGGGGAUAAAAUUAGAAUAAAUGCAGAAUAAACUAUGUGAUGGAACAAGGGGAAAAUUGGACAAGUAGACUAAAUCCAUUAUUGAGGAGAAUCACAGAUUGCUAAAAGUCUUUUCAUGAUAAGCAUGUGUAUCUAUCUUUUUUGGGUUUACUUUCUUGCUGAUUCUUUCUUUUCUCCUACUCAUAAUUCUACGUUUAGUCACACAAUCAAAGGUAGUAGUUAUGGUUGAGCUAGAGAACACUGAAUCGACUUGCAAGGAAACCCUGAGCACUGCUAAAAGAAGUCCAAAAGAAAAUUCUAGAGAGUCUACAGAAAUUGUAAGUAUCUUUUAUUUUGAAAUUUUUUAUCAUAUUAUUUGAAAGUGUAAAAAAUACAAAACGUAACUGUAUCAUAUUAUCAUGAAGAAAAAACUUAGGUAUAUGAAAUGUCCACUUGUUUUGUCCCUUCGAAGUGAUCUUUAAUAACAAGAGGCUGAUAUCCCUUGUGAAGUAAUAUCUGUUAUGCCUUUUUACCUACACAAUGAUUUCUAAUAAAUUUCAGGUAAUAAUGAAGAGUAUGUUUAAAACAGUAUAUUAGAGAGUGUUUAAUAGUAUUUAUCAUUGAAGUAUUUAACUUAGUGAAACUUGGACCUUCUGAUUUCACAGGUGGCCAAUGAACAUUUCACACCACUUCAAGCCUCUUCCCAAGGGAGCUCUGAGCACUUGCAUGAUAGGUUAGACAAAUCGAAUAAGCAAGUUGUAGAAACUCAUGAUACAGAUAAAUUUGUUACUGAAUACUCAUCCUUUGACCUUGAGAAUUGCCUCCAACAGUUGGAUGAAAAUCCAUUUGCAAUCCUUGACUUACUCUCUAAUGAGCCAUCUCCUUCACUGAAACAAUCAGAAACUUGUGUUCAAAAGGUAGCUCAAGCAAAUGAUGCUACAACCAUCCUCAAUGAGUUCCGAACCUUAGUGUUCUCAACUUCGUUGCUAAAGAAACUUCCAGACCAGUCCUAUCGGCAACAAAUUGAAGAAUCACUACACAAGCUUAACACUUAUCGUAGAGAAAUUACAGAAGAGCAAAAUGAGGGUUUAGAAAAAUUUAUAGAGCUAUAC